AUGUACAAAAGUCUCAAAGGGCAUCAGACACUAUGUGAUGUCCUCAAAAGGCAGAUCCUGAACCGAAACCCUAGGAAAGAGGGUGUUGGGUUCAAAAGGAAAAUGAAUGCUGAUGGCUCUUACUGGAAACCUGAGCAGUACCCCAAAACCACAUGGGUUGCUGCAAAGGAACCCUCAGCGGAUCCAUCCACCCUAUCUGGCUUCACUUGUGCUAAUCCCAUUGUUAUUGAUGAAUCCUUUGAUGCAAACUAUAAAUUGUUUAAGAAUCAGAAUGGUGAAGUGUUUGCCAGGUAUAUUGGUACUAACUGCAGGAAUGGACCGCCUAUGAAGAAUAUCUGGGUGCCGAAAAGGUGUUUGGAGAAUCUUCCUGUGAAUGUCAUCAUGACACCACAGGUGAAGAAGAUAAACCCAGACCACAUGCUUCAUACGGUCCAAAGGCUUCAUACAGACAGAGGACUCACCUGA
RNAcentral lists this ribosomal RNA (465 nucleotides) under Triticum aestivum (bread wheat). RNAcentral's name for it is "partial small subunit ribosomal RNA". The record is from RNAcentral. Lineage: Eukaryota; Viridiplantae; Streptophyta; Magnoliopsida; Poales; Poaceae.